GCUGGGUGCAGUGGUGUACGCCUGUAAUCCCAGCUGCUGGGGAGGCUGAGGCAGGAGGAUUGCGAGUUCAAAGCCAGCCUCAG
This 83-nucleotide small RNA is filed under the name Marmota monax (woodchuck). Lineage: Eukaryota; Metazoa; Chordata; Mammalia; Rodentia; Sciuridae. The record is from RNAcentral.